UUACGAUGAUUGAAAAGCAUCUAGCUAGCUACCAUGUGGACGUCGCUUUGUACCGACAGUAAUAUUGCAUUAUAAAAUCCUACUGCUUUCUUCAACAAUUCGCCACAGCAACAUUCCACAGCUCGACAAAGUAAGAAUCAACUCCCAAAUAGUCUCUCCGCAACUGCACUGCAACAACCAAUUGAAGAUGCACCGCCCCGGCCAUCAUGACCAUGGACCUGGCGGCGGUCCAGGAGGACCAGGUGGACCAGGCGGCGGUCCGGGAGGACCAGGUGGACCAGGUUCCCAUGGGCCUCCAGGCGGCGGUCUAGGAGGACCGGGAGGACCAGGCGGGGGUCCAGGAGGACCGGGAGGACCAGGCGGGGGGCCAGGAGGACCGGGAGGACCAGGAGGCGGUGGUCCAGGAGGACCGGGCGGCGGUUGGGGAGGUCCAGGAGGCGGUGGUCCAGGAGGACCGGGAGGCGGUUGGGGAGGACCAGGAGGCGGUGGUCCAGGAGGACCUGGCGGCGGUGGUCCAGGAGGCCCGGGAGGCGGUGGUCCAGGACGCCCGGGCGGCGGUGGUCCAGGAGGCCCGGGCGGCGGUGGUCCAGGAGGCGGUGGCUCAGGAGGUCCAGGGGGACAUGGUCGCUUCUGAUGGGCAACAAGACUUGUGGUGUACUAGUAGCACGUAGUCUAUAUAUGAUGAUAUAAUUAAGUUGAUGAUGAGCGUAAUUAGCUAAUAAUGAUGAUGUUGUGCUUGUUAUUAAUUUGUAGUUAGUUUUGGUAAUCAUGUUGGGUGAGAUCCUUCCAUUCCCCGGCCAUCUCCCAGUAGCUCAGUUCAGCUAGCUGGAGAAGAUAAAGGCGGUUCAUGUCAUACUAGUACUACUGUAUGAUGCAUGUAAUAUUUAACAAUAAAAUUAUUAUGAUAUGAUUAUGUUGCCCUUCUAUUCUUUAUAUUUGCGUCUGUGAGACACUGAGAGAUUUCUCUUUUAUUAUACUACCGAUAGAUAUGUUUAUCUUUAUUCUUCAUAGUUAUAUAUAUAUAUUAC
RNAcentral lists this long non-coding RNA (1028 nucleotides) under Prunus dulcis (almond). RNAcentral describes it as "sRNA ncRNA". Lineage: Eukaryota; Viridiplantae; Streptophyta; Magnoliopsida; Rosales; Rosaceae. The record is from RNAcentral.